This 3107-nucleotide long non-coding RNA is filed under the name Nicotiana benthamiana. Its description in RNAcentral is "long non-coding RNA (NBEN_LNC035331)". The record is from RNAcentral. Lineage: Eukaryota; Viridiplantae; Streptophyta; Magnoliopsida; Solanales; Solanaceae.
AACAAGACACAAUCAUAAGAGAACAGAACUUGACCACCCAAGCUUCUUCUUCAAAAACAUGUCAAAAAUCAACACGGCUGAACCCUUGAAACCCGCCUGAGACCCGCCACCGACCACUGGAACCUGCCGCCAACUCCGCUCUCUCCAUCUCCUUAAGACAGCCGGAGAAAGCAGCAGUACGACCAAGACCACACUCUCACCCCUAAGCUUCUGCCGCGACCCCACCUUCUUCGUCUCUCAAAAUCGCCGGAAACACACGCGCACACAAAAUUAAAUCAGUUCUGCUCAUGGAGUUUAUUUGAGUUCUGUGGCUGCUUCCCGAUUCGAGAUCGAGUUCGAGUCGCCGACGAGUAUCCUCCGGUCGGAGGUUCCGUCCGUCAGGUUUCGAUUUCAGCUCCUGUUAUGCUACUGUAAUGGCUUGAGGUUCAAUUCUAAACCUUAUUUGCUCCUCAAUCUUAAGAUCUAUUUCUCCUGAUGCUAUGAGUGAAAUUUUGAUUUGGUUGCCUAUUACUUUUCGUUCUCGAUUAAAAUUGCUCUGUCUGACUAGUUCAUCGUUUAGUUUAUGUAUUUUUGUUGUUGUUAAAAGUAGAUUUUAAGUUAUUUAACUUGGUUAAUAUUUUAGGAAAGAAUCAUUAAUUUUUAGUUUGAUUUGGGCAGUGUAGUGUGGUGUGGAAUCUUGUUAAAAGAAAGUGAUUGAAUUAUUUAUUUUAUUAGUUAAGCUUGAAUCAAAAGGGCUGUAGAAUAAAAAAUUGAAAAAUGAAAGAAAACAGAAUUGCGUUUAACGUUUAGUAUUUCUAUUUAGUUAUUAUUAGCUUUUAUUUUUUUCGCUAGGAGCAUGCUAGGUCGAUAACAUUUGGGUAGGUAAACUUUUAAGGCAUUUGAUUUUAGUUUCUUUUGAGGUGAGAGGUUGUACCUUAGUUAAAUUUAUCCGGGGAAUGCCCUAUGGACCUUGUAUAUAUUUUAGCUCGGGGAAUACCCCGAAGUAUUAUGUAAAUAUUUUGGAGGCUUUGACGAGCAUGGUGGAGAAGUCAUAAUAUAGCUUAGCUUAGGACUUUUCUUUUCAUUUUCUCUUAUUAGGAAGGGACGACCUCGAACGUUUUUGGAUGUUUAUUUUCAUUUGUGUGUUUUACCUCAAUUUGAAUAUCUUGAAAGCCAACUUGAUCGAGUACGCAACCGUGACCUUUACGGGACUUGGGGAGUGCCUAACACCUUCUCCCCGAGUCAAAUGAACCUCCUUACCCUAAUCUCUGGUGCAGACUAGUUUUAGAGUUCACAUUAUUUUGAAAGGAAUUUUUUUUUUUAAAAAAAAACGGUGACCUGACACACUGAAAUCAAAUGUCAGGUGGCGACUUUGAGUUUUCCUUUUGAAUACAAUCUUUGCCACUUUUCAAUUGAAAAAUCCUUUUCAAGCUUUUAUUAAAUCUUUUUAUUUAUUUAAGAGGGUUUAAGUAGAGUGGUGUUUUGCCAAAAAAGGGGUGUGACAGUAGUGAGCAAUGAAUUAGUUCGAGAAAAUAUGUCUAGUAAAAUUAUGGUACUUUUCCGAGAGAGAGAGCUACGACAUCCAAAAUACUCACGGUUGAUAGAGAAUACUUAGAUGAAUUUGUAGGAAACGUAGCAAGGAAGAUUUCGACAAUAAGAAAAAUCAUUAACCCUAAACCUUUUCAAAUCGUGUCCACAACAUUUGCUUUGUUAGUUAUAAAUUACUACAUUUUAAUUAUUUUGCUCUUAGUUAGCAAAAAUGGGCGGAUUUACGCUUGCCGAAGCGGUGUCAAGCAAUACCGCAUCGUCUAAAUUUUUUACUAAAUAUAUAUAUUUAUAUUGUACGGAAACAUAUAAGUAGGAAAAAAUAACACCACUUAGCAUUAAUUGUAUUUUGGUUCGUUGGUAAUGUGCGAGGUCAAAGUCUCAAACCUUAACUAGCACUUUUUUCUUUUGCAAAUACUCAUGACCUUUUGUAACUUAAGACUCAACAAAAUCAAUAGAUGAAAGUUAUUUCUUGUCUAAAGGUUUGAUAAAACGUUUUUCUGGUGACAUUAAUGAAACCAUAAUGCAAAAUUAAUUAAUAGAAACGUUUUUCAUUAUUAUUGAAACUUAUUUAUAUUUCAAUUCUUUAAUAAAUUUCGACACCGCUAACAAAUUUUUUUGCGUACGCCCGUGUUAGCAAACAUUGAGAUCCUUAUUUAAUAUUUUUGAAGGUUGAUUACUUGAAUUCGUGCGAAACUAGUUAUCGUAAUUAAUAGAUUAAUUUUCUGUGAAAUUUGACUCCAAAUAAAUUAUAUUUACAACUAUCGGUAGACCUCUUUGGAGGCAUAGCUAGGUGUGAUCACGUACAAAUAAGUCCAUGGUAAAAUACCACACAAUACAAACAAUAUCACGAGUUGGCAUUUCAGUAGCCUCAUAGUUAUUACUGUCAAAUUGGACCUUCUUUAUCGAUGACUAUGUGAAAAAUAUAUUGAUAAAUGCUAGUAAUUACUUCUCGACCACCUAGAAUUUAUACACGUUAAUAUUGUUGGUUGUGAAAUGACAUUACCAGCCGGGUACCGCAAUAUAACGUAUGUUUCUAGUCAAGAAAUUAUGUUGGAUGGACUUUAAAUUUUGAUCUCGUUAAAAAAUAUUUUGAGAAAAUAGUCACAUGUUACAAUUUUUAAGUAUUCUCCGAAAAGCAUCAGGAAUUUUGAGGAUUACAAAAUUUUCAUUUGUCAUAUAGUCCGUGGCCCAUGCUAAAAGAUGAUUUUUGUUAAAAUAAGCAACUGACACUACCAUUUAUAUUUUGAGCUCAUCAAGAAAAAUUUUAUGAAGCCCUAACGCCCCGAUAACGAGGCGUGAGCGGUUGAUUUAGGCGGGUUCGAGGAAAGAUAGAGAGGGUGUAAAAAGUAUUAGGAAGAGGUAAUCGAGCAGGACACGAAGUGACUUUAGAUUUUCGAGAACAUGACCCUUGAUAGGAAGGUGUGGAGGUUGAGCAUUAGAGUUGUAUGUUAGGAGGUAUUUGAGUAUUUUUCUACUUCGUACCGGGUGUGAGGCUAGUCUGAUAGGGUUGUGUCUUAAGUUGCUGGUGGUUAAUCUUGUGUUCACACUAUUCUUCCUUUUUUAUAGUACAAGGCCUUAUU